Salmo salar (Atlantic salmon) is the source of this 54-nucleotide non-coding RNA. Lineage: Eukaryota; Metazoa; Chordata; Actinopteri; Salmoniformes; Salmonidae. The record is from Rfam.
UGCAUUCACUACUGUAAGUCGCUCUGGAUAAGAGCGUUCACUAAAUGACUAUAA